This 643-nucleotide ribosomal RNA is filed under the name Planctomycetaceae bacterium. Its description in RNAcentral is "bacterial SSU rRNA". It matches the Rfam family "Archaeal small subunit ribosomal RNA", at positions 834 to 1478 of the family's 1478-position model. The record is from RNAcentral. Lineage: Bacteria; Pseudomonadati; Planctomycetota; Planctomycetia; Planctomycetales; Planctomycetaceae.
AGUACGGUCGCAAGGCUGAAACUUAAAGGAAUUGGCGGGGGAGCACUGCAACGGGAGGAGCGUGCGGUUUAAUUGGAUUCAACGCCGGAAAACUCACCAGGGCCGACUGUUAGAUGAAGACCAGCGUGAUGAGCUUGUCGGAUUUUCAGAGAGGUGGUGCAUGGCCGUCGUCAGUUCGUACUGUAAAGCGUUCUGUUAAGUCAGAUAACGAACGAGACCCUCAUCUCUAUUUGCUACCUGUCUCUCCGGAGACAGCGCACUAUAGAGAGACCGCUGGUGUUAAACCAGAGGAAGGCGAGGGCAACGACAGGUCAGUAUGCCCCGAAUGUCCUGGGCUACACGCGCGCUACAAAGGACGGGACAAUGGGAAGCCAGGCCGAGAGGCCGAGCUAACCCGAAACCCGUUCGUAGUUCGGAUUGAGGGCUGUAACUCGCCCUCAUGAAGCUGGAUUCCGUAGUAAUCGUGUUUCAAUAUAGCACGGUGAAUAUGCCCCUGCUCCUUGCACACACCGCCCGUCAAACCAUCUUAGUUGGGGGUGGGUGAGGCUGCGCUUUAUGGCGUAUUCGAGCCUGCCUUCGACAAGGAGGGUUAAGUCGUAACAAGGUAUCUGUAGGGGAACCUGCAGAUGGAUCACCUCCUAAG